Pelobates cultripes (western spadefoot toad) is the source of this 363-nucleotide non-coding RNA. The record is from the annotation of a GenBank genome assembly. Lineage: Eukaryota; Metazoa; Chordata; Amphibia; Anura; Pelobatidae.
UAACCCCAAAGCACCAACCACACCAACGGAGAGUUCCCUGCCACAGGCAGCGAUUAAACACGAGGGUCCUUCGUCGCCCACGCUGUGGGAAGGACUUGGCCUCACUGAGCCUCCAGGUCCGUGGCUUGAAGAUGCUGGCCCUCAAGUCAGCCUGGGGCUGGAGGGAUGGACUAUACCGCUUCCAUCGUGCUGCUGCCUUUGCCUCUAUCAUGCAUAUCCCCUGCCUCCAUCAUGCAUAUACCACAUGUGGGCAUCGGCUAAGACUGACCUAUCUAUCGGGUGCACGCUUCUGCCAGCCAUACCUAUGAUCCAGAGCCUUUACAAGUCUACAGGAUCCAGUGGUUUUACCUUCAUUUGACUCCA